CCUACGGGGGGCAGCAGUGGGGAAUAUUGGGCAAUGGGCGCAAGCCUGACCCAGCAACGCCGCGUGAAGGAAGAAGGCUUUCGGGUUGUAAACUUCUUUUCUCAGGGACGAAGCAAGUGACGGUACCUGAGGAAUAAGCCACGGCUAACUACGUGCCAGCAGCCUCGGUAAUACGUAGGUGGCAAGCGUUAUCCGGAUUUACUGGGUGUAAAGGGCGAGUAGGCGGGAAAGCAAGUCAGAUGUGAAAGCCAUGGGCUCAACCUGUGACCUGCAUUUGACACUGGUUUUCUUGAGUACUGGGGAGGCAGGCGGAAUUCCUAGUGUAGCGGUGAAAUGCGUAGAUAUUAGGAGGAACACCAGUGGCGAAGGCGGUCUGCUGGACAGCAACUGACGCUGAGGCGCGAAAGCGUGGGGAGCAAACAGGAUUAGAUACCCUGGUAGUC
RNAcentral lists this ribosomal RNA (443 nucleotides) under uncultured bacterium. RNAcentral describes it as "partial 16S ribosomal RNA". It matches the Rfam family "Bacterial small subunit ribosomal RNA", at positions 338 to 795 of the family's 1533-position model. The record is from RNAcentral.